GACGAACGCUGGCGGCGUGCUUAACACAUGCAAGUCGAACGGAAAGGCCCUGCUUUUGUGGGGUGCUCGAGUGGCGAACGGGUGAGUAACACGUGAGUAACCUGCCCUUGACUUUGGGAUAACUUCAGGAAACUUGGGCUAAUACCGGAUAGGAGCUCCUGCUGCAUGGUGGGGGUUGGAAAGUUUAGGGGGUUGGGGAUGGACUCGCGGCUUAUCAGCUUGUUGGUGGGGUAGUGGCUUACCAAGGCUUUGACGGGUAGCCGGCCUGAGAGGGUGACCGGCCACAUUGGGACGGGGAUACGGCACAGACUCCUACGGGAGGCAGCAGUGGGGAAUAGUGUACAAUGGGCGGAAGCCUGAUGCAGCAACGCCGCGUGCGGGAUGACGGCCUUCGGGUUGUAAUCCGCUGUCGCCUGUGACGAAGCGUGAGUGACGGUAAUGGGUAAAGAAGCACCGGCUAACUACGUG
Molecule: ribosomal RNA, 468 nt
Filed under: uncultured bacterium
Lineage: Bacteria
Description: partial 16S ribosomal RNA
Rfam family: Bacterial small subunit ribosomal RNA
Source: RNAcentral